This 450-nucleotide ribosomal RNA is filed under the name uncultured bacterium. RNAcentral describes it as "partial 16S ribosomal RNA". It matches the Rfam family "Bacterial small subunit ribosomal RNA", at positions 354 to 796 of the family's 1533-position model. The record is from RNAcentral.
GUGGGGAAUCUUCCGCAAUGGACGAAAGUCUGACGGAGCAACGCCGCGUGAGUGAAGAAGGUUUUCGGAUCGUAAAGCUCUUUCGUUAGGGACGAACGUGCUCUUUGUGAAUAAUGAGGAGUAAUGACGGUACCUAAAUAAGAAGCCACGGCUAACUACGUGCCAGCAGCCGCGGUAAUACGUAGGUGGCAAGCGUUGUCCAGAAUUAUUGGGCGUAAAGCGCGCGCAGGCGGGAUAUCAAGUCUGUCUUAAAAGUGCGAGGCUCAACCUCGUGAGGGGACAGAAACUGGUAUUCUUGAGUGUCGGAGAGGAAAGUGGAAUUCCAAGUGUAGCGGUGAAAUGCGUAGAGAUUUGGAAGAACACCAGUGGCGAAGGCGACUUUCUGGACGAUGUCUGACGCUGAGGCGCGAAAGCUAGGGGAGCGAACGGGAUUAGAUACCCGAGUAGUCC